UUGACAAAUGCGUUGUCGUACAGAAUAAAUCUGUAAUAGUUGCUAAGAUCGUUGCAUUUGUCCAGUUGAAACCUGAAGUGUCGUGCUUCCUAUAUAUCAGUGAAAAUUCCACAAUGAAAGUGUUUCCAGAUUUCUUGACACAACCCGCGGCGUUGCAAAUUCCAUUAGCUAUGUAUUUCUUGACUAGUUUAUUGUUGUAUCUUGCCAUAGACACCUGCCCUUCAUCACAAAACUGGUCAGCCUUAGAUUUUCCAAAUAUGCAGUAUUUUUUAUUGGUAAUAACCA
RNAcentral lists this long non-coding RNA (285 nucleotides) under Nicotiana benthamiana. RNAcentral describes it as "long non-coding RNA (NBEN_LNC025899)". The record is from RNAcentral. Lineage: Eukaryota; Viridiplantae; Streptophyta; Magnoliopsida; Solanales; Solanaceae.